This is a non-coding RNA of Camellia sinensis, 1236 nucleotides long. NCBI's taxonomy places the organism in Eukaryota, Viridiplantae, Streptophyta, Magnoliopsida, Ericales, Theaceae. The record is from RefSeq and is a predicted model, not a curated record.
UUUUUUAUAUCAUGGAGAUAUAUUGUUUUGUCAAAUCUAGAUAUUGGACAGCAGGAAGCAUGGGUUGAACUAUCUAGAUAAAGCUCCUCUAUUGGCCUUGUAUUUUGUGACAAAACAGAAUAUUGGUUAAAGAUCUCGAUAACGUAAGCUGUGGCAGCAACCAAGUCAUACCUAGGACUGUUGGCGGCAAUACCAGUUGUGGACUUGGGAGGGUGAUUUUGCAACUCAGGCUAGCUGAGAAAAUGAGCUGGACAGUGACCAUGAAUCCAGGCUUUUGAGGCCUCUAUAAUGCAAGCUGAUUGCAUUUUUUCCUUCUACUUAAGUACUCCCCAGUCCCCACACUUGUUUUAUAUUUCUCAUUGUGUUUACUUGUAUCAUUCACCCAAUAAUUCAUAAACCACAAUGCAUGUUUACUCCCUAUGCAUUUCCAUCUUGGUUCAGAUCUGACUCCAGUGACCUAAACAACACUGCCAAAUCCACCAUGAUCAGAUAUACUCUGUCCUUUGUAGUUGUUGAAAUCUUAUCCAUGAUUCAGAUUUAUGCGAGAUUGAUUCGAAUGAGAUGAUGGACUUGAUCUCCAAACAAAUGAUUUAGAUCUACAAGACCUGAAGCUAAUCUUCUGAGGCAUCUUUGAAAUUUGAAGCGGUUGACUUUGUUGAUUACUCAUGUUAACUAACGAGAAACUCAGGCAUCUCUGAAAUCUGAAAUCUGCUUUUAUUGAUUUAGUUAGUUAUCUGUUGCGUUGGAUUAUUUAGUACGAUAUGUUUUAUUACUGCUGUUGCGUUGGAUUAUUUAGUACGAUAUGUUUUAUUACUGCUAAUGGUUUUCUAUACAUGCUGGAAUAUUGAUUGCCUUGCGUUUCUCUAGAUUAGUGGGAUAGAGCAAACUAGCUUCUUAUUUCAGCAAGCUUCAUAGCUUGUCCCUGGUGGUUCUCCUGAUCCAGAAUGUGUGGUGGUAUGCAAGAUUGCUUUUGUUAGUGCCGUCAGAUUGGCAGAUCUAAAGAAGAAUGCUGAUGAACAAGAAAGUCUGGUGUUUGCUACUUUAGUUGGUGACCUGGUAGUCCGAGGACUAAUAUUACUAUCAGUUGUUAUGACUUUUUUUAUUUUUUAAUUUUUAUUGUUGGUUCUUGUAUUUGAAAUAGAGAGUUUAUUUGUAUUGAUAACUUAUUCUUAACUCAAUAACUCUCCAACGACCAUAUGAAGAUUUCUAGGGUGAGAGAAAUAUGAAAUGUUUUUG